RNAcentral lists this small nuclear RNA (141 nucleotides) under Cebus imitator (Panamanian white-faced capuchin). Its description in RNAcentral is "U4 spliceosomal RNA (ENSCCAG00000001938.1)". It matches the Rfam family "U4 spliceosomal RNA". From Rfam's summary of the family: U4 small nuclear RNA (U4 snRNA) is a component of the major U2-dependent spliceosome. Lineage: Eukaryota; Metazoa; Chordata; Mammalia; Primates; Cebidae. The record is from Rfam by way of RNAcentral.
AGCUUUGCACAGUGGCAGUAUCGUAGCCAAUGAGGUUUAUCCGAGGCACAAUUAUUACUAAUUGAAAACUUUUCCCAAUACCCCCCCAUGACGACUUGAAAUAUACUCGGCAUUAGCAAUUUUUGACAGUGUUGUAAAAAA